AUGCUGAGAACGCUCGACGCUGGCAUGUUUGCAGAACUUACCAAACGAUCUGUCAGGGCCAAAUCAGGUCACUCCUCAGGAGCCACGUUUUGUCUACAAAACUCCCCAAAUUCAAAGGCAUGUCUGGAACCUGAGGCCUUCUACCAAAACUGGGAGGGGAGAAGGUGCAAACUGAAGUACAUUUGAAAUCCCCAUCAAGCCAGCCUUCAACACACGUCUCCUAUAUGCCCCGUUUCCUUGCCCAACAUGGCUCCAGGAUGAGAACGACGGUCUGCGACUCAAGGGUGAACGCUUCACGGGAGCCGUAGUCUUAGUGAGCGAGCCAAGGGUAAACUCGCUUGGGGUGACUCCUUUCUUAAACAGCUUCGGAAAUAUUUAGUCUCUGUUGCUGAACAGAUUGUGAGGGAACCGUAACCAGAGGAGGUCGUCUCAGAUAUGUGCCUGCACACCCACGCUGCCAAAGACCUAAGAAAACGCCUAGAACAACGGAUUGUCGCUUGAAGGCUUCCACUCGUGAAAAGUAAGCUCUCCCACGCUCGAUCACACCGCUUUUGCUUAUAAAAGGAAACAUGAGCAUGCAGAUGGACCACUUGAUGGAAAUACUUCAUCAGGCGGUGACCUUUCUGUGUGUCACUAUUUGUUCUCUCUCCUUCCCGGACAUGCUGUUUUAAUAAAAAUGUGUAAUUUUAAUCUCCUCAAACAUCUAACUGUUUUCCGAAGAUCCUUGGAUGCUUGUUAAAUGGUUUCACAGUUGGAAAUGGGCAUUAUUUGGAGAAGGAGCCUAGUAGGAUCAUUAGGUCUAGUUUCCCAGGUCCUCCUCUGUAUGAGCCCAGUAGGACUGGGAUAGUGCGGGAAGCCAGUGUUUGAAACAUGCGGGGGCGAUUGUUAAGAUCUCUACGUUCCCAUAAUCUUUUGUAAUGAUAAUGUGCACAUGUGUUUAAUUAUGCCCGGUAUGUUGGCUUUGUAUGCUCUCCAGCGAAUACGGUACCUUCAGAGGAAGAUUAUUCCCACUUGAAUAUUUUAAG
Molecule: long non-coding RNA, 1025 nt
Filed under: Fukomys damarensis (Damara mole-rat)
Lineage: Eukaryota; Metazoa; Chordata; Mammalia; Rodentia; Bathyergidae
Description: lncRNA (ENSFDAG00000023452.1)
Source: RNAcentral